CAAAGACUUGGCUAUAGAGUACUAAUUGUGAUGCAAGCAAGUUCUUUUGCCAAUGGCAACCAGCAGAGCUUCCCCUGAAGAUUGGAGGGGAUGAGUCAGGGGCAAGGAAGGAUUAACAGAUUCUGCCUCAAGUCCUGGUGAACCAACUCCUCUCCCCAAGACAGACACAUACUAGUGAAAUAAAUUGGAUUUAAAUCAUCACCUGAGGCAAUCCUGAAAGAGAAAAGCAGUCCUAGAAAAGAGUGGAGGAAAAGAGGACAGCCCCAUUCUCUUUGUGACCACGAAGACUGCCGCCAUGUGGUUGGGAGCCACGUAACUUCUUUUAGUGCCAGCUGAGAUUCUUCUGCCCUGGAACUAGUUCCUCCGAGUUAUUGCCAGGCCUGGAGAUUGAAUUCCUGCAGCUGGAAGGUGGGGAAAGCAAAAUGUUGUGAGCACCUACCAUAUGCCAGGCACUGUUCAGUGAACUGGUUGUACAGGAGUGAAUGAGAUCAUCUUGAUUUUGAGAAGUUUAUAAUCUACUCAAGGGAAACACGUGUAAUCAACUAUGUUUCAGACAUAACCCCUCAAAACCAAAGCAGAACCUCUUCAAGGAGCUGAGAGAUGCAAGCCUGACCAAACACUGCUCCAAAGCUGGAUGAGAUGUUUUUCCUCUUACCGUCCCCAAGCCUGGCCAAGUACAGGCACCUGGAGGCAACUCAGCAAGGACCUAUUGGGUGAACAGCAAAUAAAUAAAGUAUCUCCUUGAUUAGCAUUAGGCAAGAAUUAUUCAUUAUCAUGCAAUAUGAGUCAUUCAACUGGGGCAAGGAAAGAUGCUGGAAAGGGAAAGUAGUAUUUUUUUAGGGUCUAUUGUGUUAUUCAUGUAAAAUAGCUUGCAUGGUACCUUUUGCAUGCCUGGAACUCUUUACAUGGUGGCUGUUUUUAUGUUCUUAUUAAUUUUUGCUAACUUCAGGAGGUGGAUAUCAUAUCACCUUUUUGACAAGUAAGGAAACUAGGGCUCAGAGAAAGGAUGUAUCCUUUAGGGCCACUUAACCAGGGAGCAUCAGAGACAGAAUUCAACCCCAAGGUCACAUAAUUUCCCCAAUCCUAUUGUUCAUCUGUGGUCUCCUGGAGGGACCAUGCAGAGCACAUGGCAGAUGUGUAUGUGGAUACGUGA
RNAcentral lists this long non-coding RNA (1153 nucleotides) under Homo sapiens (human). RNAcentral's name for it is "HSALNT0345508". The record is from RNAcentral. Lineage: Eukaryota; Metazoa; Chordata; Mammalia; Primates; Hominidae.